GGCGGUGUCGCCGCACGGCUGAGGAAGUGAUGGAGAGGAAGAGGAAGACGGCCUUCUUCGGGACACUUGGGCAGAGCCCUGGUUCCCCUCCCCCUGAGCGGGGCUCUGAGCUGGGGGGGAACUCUGGGAAGCACCAAAGUGGUACCGUAGGCUCCCGUCCUGCUCCUACGAGGCAGAUGUCGAAGCAUGAUGCGGGUGUGGGAUGAAAGGGAACAACCUGAGCUCCUCCCAAAGUCUCAGUGGCAACUGCUAUAAAUCCCCUAAAGAAAAACGUCCACCGGAAAUAGAGUUGCUUGAGCGUUGGAUGUGAUGAGCUCAGGGUGGAUGGGGCAAUGGCAGAGACUCUGCUGGAUGGGUAGCAGGCUCUGUGCUGUUACCCAGCUGCCCCGCCUCAGCCUGGACGGGUUCCCGGUGACAGCCCUCAGCCAGGGAGCGAUUCUAUUUUAGCAGAUUGAUUUUAAAGGUUCUUUACAGAAAAUAUAUGCGUGCUAACUUUGCAGGAAGGCACAUCCCGCUGGGAGCUGGGCUGCUCUAGUCGAAGCGGCUUCCAUUAAUCUCACAGCCAUCCACGCUGCAAUUAAGACUCACGCUGCAGCGUGCACAGGCAGCUCGACCUUGAGCGAAACAACACAGUCAGGAAGCGGUAUUGCCUCUGAGCAUCAGCGCUUUAAUUUUUUUUCCCCCUCCUUGAGGAAAGCUUCAAAAGGAGGCAUUUCUAUAGGUGCUGCUGAAAUCUGGGGAACUUUCUCGGACGAGCCGCUUUUGCACAAUGCUCCCAAUGGCUCUCCCGAGCGUUGCUACUGCUGCGGGGCUGCCAGAGAGCGAUUGCCGCCCAGAGGGAGCCGUGCCCGGGUCUGUUCGCGGCCGGUAGGGGGUGGUGGAGGGCCGGCGGGAUCCGAGCAUCCCACCCCGAGCUGCACCAGGCAUUGGGGAUCUACCCGAAGCGCCACAUUCCCACGAACGGGAAUAUAACGGGGGCAAAGGCCUUGGAAGGCAGUACACUCGGGAAUGAGUGUAUUUCUCAUCUGGUCACCCUGCUGGGCUUGAGCACCAUGAAGAGUAGUGCCAACACUGCUCAAAGUUGUGGAAAGCUUUCCACCCAUUCCUGGCCGGUCUCAGGGGAAUUGAAGUCAUUUCAGAGCUUCACUCCUUCCCACUGGGUCAACGCAGCCCCCAUGCUGUGACGUACAGUUAGCAGGCACCCAGGGCUGAGCUCCACCACAUUGUGCCACACAGAGGGCUCACAGGGAAAAUGUCAGCUGCUGGAACAGGGUGUCAUAGCAGAGCUUCACCCAGAGUCGUGGAAGCAGGCUACACAGUGUCUUUCAAAAUAGUGUUUCCUCUAUGUAUGUGAGGAAGCAUCAAAAAGAAUAAUGAUAACUUCUCUGCAGUACUACAAGUCAAAUGUGUUGACUCUGAUGAUGAUGUAUAGUAUAGAUACUGGAAACAUAUACUGUAUAGUAUAUAAAGAUUUUAAAUCUCAAGACAGACAUUAAAUUUCAGUUUGAAAUGUGUGUAUGUUUAUUAUAUUGAUUGUAAUGAAUUCUGAAUUUAUAUAGAAUAUAUAUAUAAUGGCUGUAUGUUUUGAAAGACAAUUAAGUGAAAUACUGAACAAGUGUCAUGCGUGCAACACUUGCUAAUGAGGGCAGGUGUGCUUCUCCUUACUAGUCCAUGCAUGAAUUCCUGAUGAAACAGAUCAGUACCGAAAAGAGAGACUACUCUAUCUGAGAUUUGGGGCUGUUCUGUUUUUCCUUUGAUCUGUCUCAUCUGUCUGAGAUACGUACAUGAACUUCCCUCCUACGUUUUAUCUCAAGCCUGUAGGGCUUUUGUUUUAAAGGAGUAGGACUGAAAACAGAAUACACAAUUCUUCCAUAGUUGGCUGUAGUCUGAGGUGUAGUGUUAUGCAGCACUUUCUCUCACCUGAUGUAGUCAACGUCUACAUUUUGAACACAUGAAACUGUAUGGCUGUGUGAGUGUAUUAUGUACUUCAUAGAGCUUAGUAUUUUGUAUACGUUGAUAAAUUUUGCAAAUUAACUUGCACACUUGCAUUUGUAUUUAAUUGCUUGAAAUUGUCUGAAUUUUCUUUACAAAGCAGCAUGGAAAGGCCUUUGUGUUUCCUGAUGCAGUGUUGAUUUGCGGCUUUCAUUGGCAGUGAAUAGGUCAUUAAAAGCUUUGUCCUUUGUGUUUGUCCAGUUGUUUGACAUAAAAUUCAUCUAGCGUAAUUCUCUUCCUUUUCUCUUACGUCUUUUUAGCAACCACAAUUUCUGUAUGGUCUCAGAUAGUAGGAGACAAUAUUUCCUGUAAUCUGUGUCUCUGAUACUUUUCUGGAAGAAAGUUGGUUUGCAGUUGAGUGUAUGAUAAUGGUAGGAUUCUUAGGAUGGAAUAAAACCCGUCUUGGAAACCAUCUCUUUCUAUGUGAAAUGUUGGUCCAGUGAGAAUUUGUCAUUACAGUCCCAAGAUAUUAUCUUAAAUAGGGUGGUUAAAUGUCUCAAAAUUACAGCUUUUAAAAUGCAAAAACAUUAAACCCUGUAUACUAAUUCUGAAUCAUCUUGUGAAAAUGAGCUGAAUUUCUUUAUUCACUUCAUGUGAGAAUAUCUGUAAUCUGUUUAUAGUUCUACAUUUCCUAGUGAAACAAAACUGCUUGCUUCUCCGUGAAACUGAACACAAAUAAGGUUUUGCAAUGCUAGUCAUUCAAUGCAAUUUAUGUAAUUCAUGAAAUAUUUCAUGAGGAAGUUCAAACAGAAACCACAAGAGUUUAAACAAGAGAUGAUUCAAGAAUGUUGUGGUCUUAAAUAUAACAACAUUGCAAGUGACUUCACUGCUUAAAUCAAACAGGAGAGCUAAUACUCAGAAGAAUUCUGUAAUUUUAUUUUUAUUUUUUAUGCUUUGAAGAGGGAGUCUUAGGAACUCGUGCUUGGUGUGAUGUGGGAGGACUGUUGAUGAGCUUAGGUAGGAGGUUAUAUUUCUGUUUUAAGUUAGUCAUUCCACUAUUAAAAGUAUAGUAAUCUAUAACAAUCAAUAUAUUCUUAGCACUGUCUACCUCUUUAAUUCAUGUCUCUGUUUGGGACACAGAUAUCUAAAUGAGAAUAUUAAGGCAUUUUUCUUUUUAAUUCAAAUCCUCCCCUUCUCUACCUAUAUCCCUCCAAGAAAUCAUAAUCUUUUACUAAGGGCCUACCAACAAUACUCAAUAACGACAAUUAACCUUUGCAUUCACAGCCAAAUAAUUCAGUCUUUAAACCCUCCUUCAUGAAAGGUCAAGAUGAAAUGGUUCUAAAGUAGUGUACUUGCAAAUUCUUUUUCUCUGUGUUCCUACUGUGGGAUUUUUUCUCAGCCUCCCAAUAUGUAUAAAACCUAGACGUGUAGCCUGGGAAGCUGGAGAGAAUUCUAUGCAUAAGAUAUAGUUGUUCAGUAGACAUAGCAAAAAGGUCAAGACAACAGCAGUGCUCUCAGUAUACACUUUAGAAAAAAAUUCCAUGCUGUUGCUACUAAAAAACUGUACUAACCUGUGCCUGAGCUUUUUGACACUGUUCAUUACAGCUGUGCUAAGUUCAAAGCUCUUUUAAUGGAAAAUACAUCAAAAUCCAAGAGGUUGGUUAAAAGGAGAAAAAGCACUCUAUCUUCCUCUUCUCCAUGGUUUGGGGGAUAAAUAUUGCUGUGUCUUCUGCCAUUGUAUUCUCUACGUUAAAGAAUAGAUGUGAGAGAUUUACAUAAAGCUUAGCAAUGCUUUAUUUUUCUCCCUGAAAUGGAGGAGUUUAGUGUGUGAUACUGCUGUAAUAUGGGUUGAUUCAAUAGAUCUGAAUGUAAAACUUUGAAAUAAUGUAUAUGUUAUGCUAGAGCUUCUCAGAGAUAAAUCACUGAAAAUGUAUCUGGGAGACCCAGUCAUACUUUUUUGGUAUGUCCCUUAAUCUUUUGAUGAUUGAUGUUGCUUUCUCAAGUUCCUGAGUAGGCUGUGAGCAAAACUAUUUUUAAAGUGUUAUGACAGAAAUGUCACUAGAGACUUUUCCUGUGAAAUCAUUUCACCUUGCACAAUUUUAUAGAAACUUUACAAAUCCAUGUCCGACCUAGUUGUUUCUGCAUCCUCUAAGGAUCCAGCAUUACAAAGGACAAAAAAUAAGGAUUCAAAUAUCAAAAAAACCUGCACAGUUAUGCAUAACUCUUUUCUCACUUUGACAUGGAGGUUUCAGGGGCCUCUUAAUGGCAAAAUCACUUUUGUUUUCUUCUCCAUUCAAAAAAAAAGAAUGGAGAACAUGGAAAACACCGUUCUCUUUAGUUUUAAACACUAUACAUUUAAAGAGCUUACAGAAAACUACUUAAUAUCCUGCUAUAUAUUUGUCUGCAGGCACACAUAAUGCCAUUGUAAAAUGAGUGUUACUUAACAGUCCAAGAAUGAAGACUAACAUUUAUCUACUAAGUCAUCAGAUCCUUUGCUAAUGCUAAGAUACUGCAUUUUAACACAUUCCACAACAAAGCCCUUUGCGAAGAAAGAUGAUGUGAGCUUGCUAUCCACUGGCACUGGGUUUGUUUUCUUCAGUACCUGUUGGCUACGAUGCAACAGUGGGAGAAAUAAAAUGUGAGGCUUUAUUCUCUGUUAGCUGCAUUACUGCAGCUACACAAGGCUGGAUUAACUCUAUUACUACAUCACACAAGGGCAGAUUUACAGGCAUAUUGAGAAAGUCAAAGCUUGUGGUGCUCAACACUUUUGUAAAAAAUAUUGCUCUGUCCAUACCUCCCUUCUUACACCUCUAGAUAGUAGAGUAAGGAGGGUUGCAUGAUUUAACUCCCAGAAAUUGCUCUGCUUGUAAAGUGCUAUACAGGGACAGAGUACCUUUCUUCAAUUUCAAAUUAGUAGUGCUUUGUGAAGUCAGUCUAGUUACAUCAGCAGCAGUACAGCAGUGAUACAUCUCAAAAUCACUGCCACAAGCAGUAAAAUGCCUCAGGCAUGAAAACCUGACCUUUAGCCAUACUUUACUGUUUUAUCAGUCCUCUUCAGUUCAUCUGGGCAGCAUGGUCUGGAAUUUAUAGGUUCUACCUUCCUGCUCCUACAACUCUACGACAGACAAAUUAGAUUGUUAGCGAACAGUGGUAAACUGAAAAAAUAUCUUCCUUCUCAGCUUAUAAGAAGGUAAUUUAGUACACUGAAUAAAAAAGUAUACCACUUAGAACCACAAGCGAUUUUGAAUGUGUGCAAUCUAAUACACUGUUUGUUGUAACAUGAUCCUGAGUAGAAGAAUUUAUAGUUACAGCAUCUUGGAGGCUGCAUAGAGAUCAUUAGGCUUUAUCAUCUGUAUCAGGGUGGAAAGUUUGGGUCACUGAACGACAUCCAUACAGGUUUUUUUGUUAUUUUCUCUUUGCAAUAUUGGUGUUCAUGAUAAUUCUGCUUCUCAGUUAUGUAGGUCUUUUCGUACUCAAAAUUGUUUUUAAGGCAUUUUGAGUUGUUUUCAAGAAAGGGUAAAGAUCCACACACUUUGUAUUUAACACGAGCAAUGCAAUCACCCCAGUUCAGUAGAUACAUAGCACAACAGCUCUUUAAAAUCAAUGUAGAUUUUAAUUCAUGAAAACUUCUAAGAAAAUUCAAUUUAAUUCAAAACAGCAAAAUAAUCUGAAUAUUACUACAAUAAUUAGUACUUGGAGCUAAGAAAGAAACACCAUAAACCACUGAAAUAACAGGUAACAUUUUCUCCAUCUGAGGUUAUUCAAUAAUACAAAAUUAUAUUCUCUUUAGUAAAAGCUGGUCCACAUGCAAUAAGCAUUCCAUAAAUGGCACUUCCUAUUAGCUAGUUGAAGAUGAGUAAAUUAGCUGCUUUAUAGGAAGUUUUCAUGAAAUGAAUUGCGUUCAACAAAUCACUAAAAUACAUAAAGCAAUUGAAACUAAAAGUAAAAAAACAACAACAACAAAAAAAAAACCAGUAGUCUUUUCAUCUGCCCUCUGUCUGAUCAUAGAUCAACAGGUAUGACAAAAGUUGAAAAGCAAUUUAAAAUUUCAGGAGUUAUUUACAUAUAAUAAAGGAGGAAGAAUGAAGCCUCAGAAUUCAGGCAUUACUUUGCAUUCAAUUUGAAGCCUUAUAUUUAAAAUGAUGCUAGAUUUGAACUCGGAAAGUUACCUAACCACUGCACAUGCACCGUGUCCUGGGAAGUGUUCUGGCCGAGUGCCCUCUCUUCAUUCUCUUUUCUGAUUGCACUUCUUGUGGCUCUGGUAUAAAUGUGGUUUGACAGUAAGUAGCUUUAGAAGAAAUCAAGCCAUUAACAGCCUCAUCAUAAGAGUUUGAAGUCCUGUGUUUUUCAGGAAUGGUCCUCAUUUUCUUUAGGAGGUGCUACAAGGAAGGUACCUCUGCUAUACACAGCACCAACAGAGACUCCAUUCUGGAAAACAGCCUUCAAAAACCCAUUUCCUCCAUCAGACAUCAGUAGUUUGCAGAUCCCUUAGUAUUCCCUAAUAAUGUUACUUAGGCAUAUUGCUUGCAUCCCACUAAUGACUAACAUUUCUUAUUCCACUUGGAUGGAAAAGAGCAUCUUUUGAUUUGUCCUGCUUAGAAGCACUGAGAUUCACCUUAUUCUUUGCAAGCAUGAGUUCAACGUGCAGUAGGAGAUGGAUGGCUUUCACUUGACAAAUGGCCAGGCAAGAUAAAAUACUCAGGUCUUGCCUUUAUUGGGAAAGAGAUUUUACUAUUAACUUAAGCUAAUUUUAUUUCUUUAUGAUAAAAGGUGAUCGUACCACAACUUGUUUCUAUUUUGAAGAAAAGCCAAUUUUCUGCACUCAAAGUGAUUGCUUGGACAUCAGGAGAGCCUUUAAGAAUGUGAAUCACAGUGUAAUAGAGAGACUCCUGUCGAAGUCAUAAAGGUUCAGGAAAUAUGUAAAGUUUCAGUGUGUAUAUUUUUUCAUUUGUGGUAAUUUGUCUUGACUAAUUCAGAAGUCUCCCUACUGAGAAGGUUGGCUGUUGUAAAUUCCGUUCACUGGGUAAUAUAUGUAUGAGGAAAGAAGCUGAAUGAUCUAUGCCUUAAUAAACAGUAGAGUGCAUUUCAGAAUGCGUUACAAAGAGACUGGAAGUUUUUCCAAGAAGGCGACUUGUCCUUAAAGCUGGAAUUCAUAGCAUUUUUUAUUUCAUUUAGCAGUUUGAGAAUUAGCUGUGAAUAAUUGCAGACUAUGAGCCAGUCACUAUAAAAAUGUACUCCUCCAAAGUGAAAAACAUCCUGAUCACCUAUAAUGUUUAGACGAGUUCGGGGGGAAAAAAAAAAAAGAGGCAUAAUUUGGGACUAAGAUCCAUCUGUGCUUUGUUGUGCUUGAGUCAUCACCAACAGAUGGCAAGUACUCUGUAGAAAUCACUCAGCUGAAUUACUCCAGUUUGUGGGGUACCUAAGGCACCACCCUUAGUUCUAACAUUAUACUAUAUAAAUAUUCUGUUUUCUUUGGAGGUUCAGGCAGCUACCAGCAGAGAGGCUGGUGCAUUAUCAUGCUCACAGAUACAUAAUGUUAUGUAAAUAUUUGUAAUAAAUACCUUCCCUUUUAUUUCUCUUGAAACAGUGUGUUUCAUUCCCAGCACAAGACUGCUGAGCUCUGUCAAACUUCAUAGGCUGUGGUUGCAAAAAUAUCCAGCAACAAGCUGGUAUUGACUGUCACUUCCUGUAGGGCUCUGAAGUUGAUGUUACUAUUUCAGAUAGAUUCCUGUUCUGAAAUAUAUGCUAGCUGCUCAAUGACUUUGCAGUUCAGCAGACAUGAGAUGAAUGCAAAAGCUCUCUAUCAUAUAGACUCAUGUUCCCUCUUAAUCUUCAUGCAGGGAAAAUUAUUAUCCCAUUUCAUCAAUUUUGUAUUAGAUUUUCCUGAAAAAAAUGGCAAAAGCAUAUCCUUCUUUAGAGGCUAAAAACAAGUUAGUUAGCAUGUGCUGUUUCCGCAGUACUGGCAUUGACAGUCUCAUUUCUGUAAGUAGAUCUUGCUUUCAGGGUAGCUAGAUACUAUCUUUAGAAUUGAUCUCAUACCUUCCUUCAUAUGCCUCCCUCAACUCAUUAUGAGAUGCAAGUGAGUAUGUGAUUGGAAAAUGAUCUAUUUGCCCAGAACAGACCUCUACCUAGUUAAGCUCCCUAUUUCAUUCAGCAUUAAUUUAGAUGAGGUAGAUAAUAUUCACUGUUCAUGUAAAUAUGCCAUCUACUCAGUCUACCGAGACCACUUGCACUAGUGCUUAAUGAAAUUACGGGUAUGUGAGUAAUGUCUCUGUGUCUCAUCAUAAAAUCUCCAUCAUAUUGCUGACAGUCAUAAAACAGAAGACAUCCUUUGCCAAGGUGCUGUCUGUCCUAUUGAACUUGGACUUUUCUAAGCCUUGAUCAAUGAAGGAAUGCACCUAGUAGGUAGCAAACUGCAGCAUGAUGAACAGAGCAAAGACAAGAGUGUCUAUAAGAGCUGCACUGAAGCCUAGCACCUGCUGUGUCAAGAAUUAUAGAUUAUAUUGGGUAAAAUCCAUUUCUGUUUUGAGCAUAUGCUGCUGCAUCAGACUACAGGGCUAUUAUUUUGUAACAGACAUGCAUAGCUUGCCAAUGCGAUUUUAGAAUAGCCAAAUGGAAUGUGAAGAUUUCAAGUGGGAAGGGAAGGCUGGAUCAAAAUGGUUGUACAGAUGUCUGUACUAUUGUUCAUGCUGUUGCAUCACUGGGAUAUCUUGAUUGUUCACAGAUUUAGUGCUGUGUUUUGUAUUUUUUUAAAACCAAAAUUUUCAUGCCAAUAUUACCACUCUGUACAAAACGUGUGUGGUAUGUGCAAUGCAUAAAUGCACAUGACAAAGUACAGGACAAAAUUUAACUCUUAAGCACUAGAAAACUCAAAUGAUUUCUCAGAAAAUUUGUAGGAAAUGUGUUUGUGGGCAUUUGCUCUGGUGUAGGAGGUGAUGAGAAAAGGAGAAAAAUUAGAGAACCUAUGAAAGCAACUGAUGCUGUAUUGUCAGUCUGAGUUGGGUGGUGGUAAAACUUAUCUUACUCUCAUCACAUACUAAUUUGGUACCACAUACCAAUUUAGUAUGUGAUAUGCUCUAUUGUUUUCUGAACUAAGUGUAGGACCAAAACCUGCAUGCCUGGACAGCACAGAUUUCCCCUAAAUCUAUGGUUGGGAUCCAUUCCAUGUUGCUUUCACUGGAUAUUAUCUUAGGGAAAACUUGUCCUCUACUGUUAAACAGGUGUAGAAUUUUCCUUACAAUGUCAAGUAACCUGUUUGAUACAGUUCUUUUUAAAAAAGGGCUAAUGGUAGUAGUAGAAGCAAGCAAUUACAGAUAUCAACCUUGUUUCCAUCUGUGGAGAGAAUAGCCUAAGCCAGCUCUUAAAAAUAAGAAAAUAAAUAAACUACAUUUGUCUUAUGAUGAUGCUGUGUUUUUUCUUUAAAAUCGAAGUCUACAUAAAUUGCACUUUUUAUGACACUAUUAUCACAUCUUUCACAGUGUAUGGGCAUAAAAGAAUUCAUUUACAUUUUACACUAUAGAUAUUUUAAUAAUUUAUGAAAAUGCAAAAACAUUAUAUAACUUUAAACAUCUCCUGCACCUUCACAUGAUACCACCCGAUAAAGUCAUUGGUAUGAAGAAGGGAACAGAAUAGGAUGGCAGGAUUUAAGACCACUAGAAGAAGGCAGUAGAACAGCAUGAGCUAAAUGAAGGUGCCUUCCAUGUCUUACCCAAGUCAUACAAUACAGUUCUGUGCUUCUCUCUCACUCUUAGCUGACCUGCCAGUAAGUCACACAUAUUAACUUCUCCAACAUUGAUGAGUUGCCAGAGAGUUUGAUUUUUGGGGACAUAAGCAUUUUUAAACCAAGAUCCAGGUUCAAGUGCAGCUGAAUCAGCAGUAGUGCGGAGGUACUAAGUUUUGUUGGAGGGCUGGCAAUGGGAAACUUUACAUGCUAAAACUGGAUCAUCACUCACAAAGCAGAACAGGGGAACCACAAAGUUAAUUGUCUCUUCUGCAUAUGAUACUUUUCAGAGUGUAUGUAAGCUGUGCACUGCCACUCUUCAAAUUAUUCCAGAAUUUGGCACAACUAUCAUGGCAUAGGGGCAAAUGGUUGGUACGUACUUUACAACAUAUUACCGACUUGCUGAAGAAGAUUAAGGUGGUGGUUUUGUUUCUUUCUUUUUUUCUUCUUUUUUAAUUCACCCAUUAUUGGUUUUUUUUUUUUUUUUUUUGGCAAACUUUAAAAAAAAAAUGUGGAAUUUCUACUCUUAAAAGACUGUUUUUCUGUAUUAGAAACUUAAAUACCUAUGCCUAGCUCAGUUUCCAUUACUCUGCAAUUAUUUGAUCUUCACUCAUAUUUUUAUUUCAGUAACACUUAAAUAAUUGUCCUCUGAGAAAGACUUGACCUGCAAAAGUUUUCAAUGUAAUCUUAGAGCACAAAAAUGAAGAAAGAAAACAGAUUUAAACUUUUAAAACAGUGAAUUAUAUUCUGCAGGCAGCAAUUAUUUCUGCUGUCAGCAGGAAUAAAGUUUACUGCUGUAGGAAACUUGUGAAAUGGCAAAUGUGUUCCUGUUAAAUGCCUUGUCAACUGGAAGCAAACAGGACUACACCUUUAGAGAACCAUGAGACUUCCUAUUGUAGCACUGAUAAGGUUUGUGUCCUGAACACCUGCUCAGAAGUAGUUAUGAAGAUGUGAUUUGAAUGAAGAAAAGGAAAUACCGAACUCCUACAUGGCAAAUAAAUUCUGCUUUUUGACUUUCUGAGCUGGGGCCCUCAGCCAGACUAUGUGGGAGAUGGCUGUUCAUCUCCCAGUGAACUUAGUGAUGCCAGUAUCCAAAAGUCAAAGUGGGAUUAACGUGGAUGACUUUGUGAUCAUUAUUAUAUUUCAUUAAAAUUAAUCCUUAUCUCAUUGGUGUAAGUUGUAUCACAGUUAAGUGUGAUGAAAGGCACAAUUCCUGCUUUUUAUUAAAAAAAAAAAAAACAAAAAAACAAAAAAAAAACCCUUGUGUGAACCUUUUGGGAGGAGACAGGAGGAUCAAUUACCUGAACUGCUCAAAUUUUAAUCAAGAACCAAUUAAGAUGGCUUUUUCCCAGAAAAUUAAAAAAAAAAUAAUUUUAAAGUGUAUGUUUUAAAAAUAAUUAAAAUUGUAAUGUAUCUCUAUAUGCAAACUGUUGAAUCACGGUGUGAACAACUGAUUGAUCACCUGAGGCAAGCAAUGAGUCAGCUGUGGGAGCACAGGUGAAAGCAAUUCAAAAAAACAGGAAGGGGUGGAGUCUGUCUCCACCUCUCCUAGACCCCAUUUAAGGGCUGACUGCAACUGGGGCAGGAUGUCUUCUUGGAGAUUCCUCCCUCUGGAGUUUUUCUGUGAGCCUAUGGUAUGGGUGAGCAUUUUCAUUUAUUUUUGAUUACUUCUUUCCUCUGUGAUAAUCCUUCUAUGCAACCUGCAAAAUGCUAGCCUAACCAUGUCACUCUGCUGAUUGUACAAUUGUUCAUGCACAAUCAGGAUCUAUGUGAGUUUGCUUUUUUGGUACCUUCUGAAGGAAAAACAAAACAAAAAACCCCAACAAAACCCCCAGAGCUGUAAAUUUUCACAGGCUGGGACUCAGAAUGAGAUGGCAAUGCUGUUUACUUAGAUAAAUCAGGAACUACUAAUAGAACUUCAAUGCUAAAGGUUAAUAAUAUCAUCAUUGCUAGCUCUUGAAAGAGACCUGACUGCCUAAAGGCAACUUAAUUUUAAACACUGAGACAAGUCAAUCAGUACACACCUAAAAAUAUGCAUCAAGGGAUGCAGUUUGCAUACAUUACAGCUUUGGUCUUCUUCCUAACCUAUGAGAUCUUGAAUUCUUUUGUUCCCUUAUUCAAGAAACCAAGAAUGCUGGUAUAUGUACUUCCGUGUAAGAUAUGCUUGCUGGGUGGCUGGUCACUGAGUAGGGAAACAGAGUUUCUAGGGGAAGGGCAGGGCACAGGCAAAUACUGUUUCUCUCAAAAUUCUGCUCUUCCCAUGCUAGUGUUAAAACAUUUCCCUCACUAGGAAAUUUGUUCAGUGAUGGGGGAUGCUGAUGAGCUGAAAAUGGAAAUGUGAACUCAGCCAACGUGCAUUGACUAAGGCUAGGUUAGAAUGUGGGCCCAUUUUCUCAUUUGUAUGUUUUGCGUUUUCAGAAUUGAUAGUCUGUAAUGUUUAAAGUGGUUAAGGGCAAAGUGGAUAGGAAAAUACAGUGAUGUCGGUAAUGCCUUCUCAGUGCUCUUGGGAGUAGUAUGCUGGAUCAUGAGUAAAUAGAUGUUUCUGACCAGGUGCCAACAGUUUUGGCAAGGCCAUGUUAAAGAUUGUAUCUAUGCAAUUUAGCUUCUUUUAAAAUAUAUUUUUUUAGAAAAUAACUAUUGCAAGCUCCAAGUGUAUUUUUCACUGUGUUUGGAACCCAAACAACGUCAGUGGUGCAGACAGAAAUCUGAUUUCACUUGACAUGUUUAUAACUUUUCCUCUGAAUGUGCUAUGAUCAAGUUUAUUAUGUGAAUAAAUACUCACAUAUUCUGCUAGAGAAGAUAUUUCUCUUAAUGGUCAGAGGGGUGAAUUAAGAAAGGUAUUUUAGUACUAGUCAUCUGCUUUAAUUGUCAGCCUUAGAAAGGAAAUGGCUCUGUACGUUUUGAGUCAAGUGAAAGAGUAACACUUAUGGACAAUAAUUUAGUUAUGCAUUGACUCCUGGAAACAGUACAGCAAACCUGAUUUUAGGUGUGAUGUACAAGAUUAUGAAUUCAAGAACAUUGUAACUUUACUGAGGGCACUGCUCUCAAAACUUUUCUCAACAGUCAUGUUUAAAGCUUAUUUCUAGCUAAGUCCAGUAAUUAAUACUGCAGCAAAAUAUCAGUGAGGAAAAAUAGGCUAUAGAAAAAUACCUUAUCUGUUUUUAACAGUCCUGAGGCUUCUUCUAGAUCUUCGAUGUGUGGGCUGCACCUCCCUCAGAAGGAGCAGCAUGGAAGAAGCAGACCUAUGUGCAGCAGUGAGUCCUAUUUCCACUGUGAACUAGGUUGUGGUAGUGCUACACCUUAGAGGUCAUCUUAUCCUCUGUGGCUCUAUGACUCAGUGGCUGCCUUUCCCAUUUUCUGCCUGGGUCCCUGCACCACUGGGGCUUCUUUUGCACUUAAAUUGACAUGAAAGUUAAUACACUGCAACACAUUUUUAGGACGUUUCACAUUUGCUUCUGGGAAGGACUUUUGCUUCCUACCCUUUCUAUAGAACGCAAGAUCUGCAUGAAACCUCUGUUUUAUCUGCAUGAUUGGAAAGGAAGAUCAUGUGCUCUUUUAUAGAUAAGCAGAAAAAGACUCCUCCAGAAGCUUGCAGCUGAUAUGGAUAGAGAGAACUGAAUGUGGUGAACAUAAUAGAAGAUCUUUAAUUCUAUUUUUUUUGCUGGCCAGUUUGCUCCUAUCUCAUACUCUAUUAGCUGAACCAAUGCCAUGUAAGCCACCUGUCUCUUUGAAUCUUGCUCACCUCUCAGUGUAAUUCUUCAAACCUUUUAUAAACAGUAUAUAUAUAUAUUAAGAACUGUAUAUAUUUAUGUAUAGAACCAUAUGUUUGUACAGUUUUUAUGGGCCUGUAAAGAUUUCAUUUUUAUUUUUGGAUUUUUAAAAACUUUUUGACAACAUUACUUUAAAAAGUAAAUUAUUGUAGAAUUAGUCUCUGUUGGUUUAUGUUCUAUUUUAUAAGAUCUAAUCAGAAAUUUCAUUAAUGUCAGCAAAAUAUAUAUAAAACGUUGCUGAGAUUUUUAGAUGUGGAAGUAUGAAUUCAGCAUUGUGAAAGGAUUGCAAUGGAAGAAAUGUUCACAUAAUAGGUGAAAAAAGCUUUCUGGCCCUGGGUGGGGAAGUAGGUAACAGAUCUGUGCUCUCUGACCUUGUUGCUGUCUCAUUGCUUUUUUUCACUACACAAUUUUAUUAACCACAGCAGAGGUUCAGUCAACAUGUAGAAGCAAGGCAGUGUGUGGGUCUAAUUACUGCAGCAGUAUGUGUGUGCUUGAUGAUGGGCAUUUUGUAGCUGAGAGUGUAACAACAAAGGUAAUAGGCAUCAAAAUAUGAAGCUCUCCAUGAUAACUGGCAAGGACACCUCAAUGUUCUGUAACUGCUGUAGCAAUUAAUUAUUGUGAGGAUCUUCUGAUUGAUUGACUAUUUUUUUUCCUGAAGAGGCAGAGGGCACAGUUUUACAAGCACCCUUAGCAAGGUUGUGGAAAAUUGGUGUAUAUGGACUCCAAUUCCCAAUGACCUUGUUAAGAAGACUCAGCCACCUUGCUUUGCUGCAGUCUUCAAUUCAGAAGACCAAGCACAGUCUUGUAUGAAAGGUAUAAGUACUGAUGAGCUGUAAUGGAAGCAUAUGGAGGCUAGCCAUAAGAAUAAGGGGCAGUGCUAUAGAUUUUGUAGCUGUCAUCAAAAAUAUUCUUCAUUUGUUUGCUCUGAGCAACUUGGAAUCUGUCUUGCACAGAACAGAGAUUUUAUCCCUUGCCUGUUUCCAGCAUGGAAAACAAGUGCUCUGCUUCAGCAAGUGAAUCCAUGCAUGCUUGCUAUACACAUAACUAGCUAUGUGUGAGAAUUAUACCAGCAAUUACUGUUUAGGAGUGCUCUGCAUGCAGAUGCCACAUGGGGCAUUGAAAAAUGUAUCACAUAGUUAUGGGAAACACAAUAGGAAUCUUUCUGCAAGUGAAAUAAUUAUAUUUUAGCCACAUUGGAAUCAAACAAUCUAGCUAGCUCUCUUUAUUCACAUGUAAAAUGAUCAUUUAUGCAAUGUGAUGUACCCUUGUCCAAGUAAUUGUGCUGCAAUAUUGUGUGAAAGUUUUUGUACAGCUCCGUAAUAGCCAUACUGUUAGAUGACAGCAGCAGCAUUAGUACCCUGUAUAAGUAUUUCUAAUCAUGGGCAAAUUUACCUUUUAUUCUAUGCUGGUGUAUCACAUGGUUUUCAUCUUGCACGUAAUUCAGUAGAAAUUAACAGUACUCGAAAUACUUCCCAAGGCCAGUCAGCUCUUCCCAUAAAGCUGCAUUUCUCAGCAGAGAGAGAUGGAUAACUUAAUGUGGGUGUAGAGUGUAAGGGAAUCUUGCUGUUCCAAGGCCUACACCUGGUUAAGACUUUUCGUGGUUUAGAGAAGAGCCCUAAAGGGAAAGCUUGUCAUUCAGGGUCCGUUUAUUUGGUGAGAGAUGGGUAAGGUCACCUGAGGUAGCACUCAGGGAUCUCUAGUGUAACCAUUCAGCAUACUUUUGGAGUGGUCCUUUACCAAAUGCUCUUAAGACAAUUUCAGCAUGAAAUCCUCAGAGGUAACUGAAUAAAAGAGAAGAUACAUACAAUCAGUGCCAUUCCUACCUUGAUGUUAAAGUAAAGACCCAUAAAUUGUUGUCAUGUCUUUAUGUGGUAUUCCUGAGCACCCUAUUCCAGUGACCCAUUAUUGGUCUGAUCUGUUAUGGCUGUUUUUGUGUUCUUAAAUAACAGAACAAUUUUGCUUCUAAUGCCUGCAUUAUCUCAAGUAGCUUGGAACAGGAACAUCUUGAAAAAUACCCUCCAGUGAAAGUCUGAAUGAGGCUGUUUAAUUUAACAAACAAACAAAAAACAGACUUGACUUGAUAGAAUGAAGAGUAACUUCAGCAUAUUAAAAGAGAAGGGUGUAACAAUAUGUGCCCAGAGCGUGGACCUGAACAUAUUCCCAUCAGGCACACAAAUUUAUAAAAGGGAGCACAAUUAGCAGCUGGAGUAGGCAUAAUAAGGGAAGAGAUGAAUUGUCAGUCCCUUCAUGUUUACAGGUUGAGGCUGAAUUCCUUUCAAGAAGAUAUGCCUAAGGCAAUCAUAAAUUAUGCUUUAGUCUCAUUUAUGUUACAAGCUAAAUAUGAGUAAAUAAGAAAAACAGGUGAAAUAAAUGCAUGACACUAACACCAUUGUUCCUUAAGACAUUGAAUAUCUGCAAUAAUGGAAUGAUCUGAAAGUCUCUAAUUUAAGGAUUGAUAAAAUAAAGCAAAUAGGUGCCAUUAUCACAUUUUCAAAUGAGCACUGGGGAGUUAUGCAGAGUAACUCAUUUUCUCACUUUUUAUUUUGGCUAAUGUUUCUUGGAAAAGAUAUAUAGCCUUUCUGGAAGUAGUGCAGCCAUCUCUAAAUCACCUAAAUAAAUGUGCUAUAGCACCUUUCCCAAGUCUGUGUGUAGUAUACAACCACAAUUUGAAAUUGGUUGCAUUCAUUGUGAAUUCUAACUUCUUACUGACUUUUCAAAAAAAAUUUAGUAACACAAAGAGUUCCAACCCUUUGUCAAAAAGUCAAAGUAUUGUUCAUUUGCAAAGUCAACCCCCCUGGCCUCUGAGAACUUGAUGGAAAGUAUUUCCAAAUGCUUCAUGGGGUACUGAAUGUCAGUGAGUGCCAUUUUUAAUUUGUGGAAGAAUUCAAUGAUGCACCUUUACUCCAUAUGAUUUCCUAUGUCAGAUGCAUUCUGUCAGACUGCCCCUCUGCUGCCAUCUGUCACACAGCAACAAAAUAUAACAGAAUAUUGGCGGGAAUGUUUGAUCACUACUUCUAUACUACCAACAUCCACCUCUGACAUUGUGGGGCAACUUAAAAAAUAGGAGGCAUUACUUUUGGAACAGUACUUGUAACAUGUUGGGCAGAAAUUCAGAGCACUACACUUUCUGUUAGAGAAAUAAAAUUUAGGAGUUGUAAUGUAUUCUCCAAUUAAAAAAAUCAUUCACAGCAGUGAUUUUUAUUAUUCAUUUAUUAGCUGGACCAUUGAAUUGAUCUGAAGAAAGGCAUCAUUCUCAGGGACACAAGUGAAGAGUUUCCCAUUUUAUUUUUAUAAGCAAAUAAAUUGCUUUCCUUUAAAAAGGAAUUACUUUGUUAGAAAAAAAGGCAUUACUAUGGCUUACUGUAUGGUUAUUGUUAAGUCUUUAACUAAAUGUUGGUUAUAUUUCUUGUCGGAAGGAAAGUACAGGAUUGCUCUCAUGAGCUUUUAUUUUAUGUGUGCGUUUGGUAAACCUGUAGUAUUCUGUAAUGUUAAAUAAACAGGAGAAUGAAAACCAAAACAAAUGCUAUCUAUAAAAACUUACAGUUGUUAACAUUCACAAUGAAGUUGAUUUUUAAUCAUAUGAAAAAGCAUACAGAUCAGAAAUAAUAAGUUGGUAUUUACUUUGUACCAAGCCAAAAGUGCAAACUUUUGUGUGUGUUAAAAGUAUUCAUCCAAGUCAACAAUGAAUACAGUCAAGCUGUUACACACUUGGGUUGCAGAGUCUUGGCUCUGAAGCUCAGACUGUAGCAGCUGACCCAGGUGAGCUCAGCAGGUCCAUUAUUCUCUCUUGAUGGCCUAAAAGCACGCAUUGACUCAUUAUUCUGUGUGGUAGAAUACAGUGGAAAAUAAUAUGAAAUACAGAGAGUAUAUAAAAAAAACUAUCUGCUUUCAAAAAAUUUAUCUGCUUUCUCAAUUGUAUUAAUUGUGUGCCUGAUGAAAGGUAAUCAGCUGUCCUUAAAUACUUAUGCUUUACAAGCACUGCUACUAAAAUUUGUUUGCUCUCCAAAGCCCUGAAAUCAAGAACUCAAAAAUCUCUUCAUGUUAGUAAACAUGCAGUCCAUUUUUAGUUUCUUAGUAUGCUGGCAUAACACACAAAAAAAUAGUCAAUUCUGGACAAAACAUUUGGAAAUCCAAGUCUGAGACCUAGAACUGCUGCAGUGGCACCUGAAUUAUAAUCUUUCCUGUGUCCGGCUUCUGUAGCAUCUAGUGGUAUACUAGGAUUAAAACAGACACUAAGUGAUUUCAGUUCUCUUUGUUUUGGAAAAAAUAUUAUUUGUGUUCUUGCAAAUGUAUCUGCUCAUUUUGUUUUUCUUCCUAUUGCUGUUGUGAUAUGAAUAUUUUCUACAGUGUGCUACUUCUACACUUGAUUUUUAUAACAUAACUGAAUUUAUAAAGAGGUUUAUGCAGCUGAAUUCUAAUUUUGAUUCUGUAUAGCUGAAACCAGUGCAAGUUUCAAGCUAAUUCUUGCAGACUAAUUGUCUGAUUCAUGCUAAGGCAUAGUGUUCAACAAAUGUAGCAUAAAAUGUAAGGAUUAUGUAGACAAAGCUCAAAGGUAAAUUUGGUGUUCCACUCUGCUGACAACACUUGCUUAUUUGUCAUAACACUCUGAGCUGUUACACUUCAGUAAUUCUCUUUUACACCUCAAAAUAUAUCUGAAGUAUUAUACAGUGUUUCCAUGUUUUAUAUCAAACACAAUACAGUACUUAGGUUGCCCUUUUUAUUUGCUGAGUGCUAUGUUCCAAAGAAGUAAUAAGAUACAGAGAGAUCACCUGAAACCUAUGAUAUAGUUAUGGCCUAUAAGUGCUUUGGUUUUUCUCAGCGUGAGGGUUUGCUAAUUCACAUAUUAAUUGGUGUACACUUAAAAUCACUUUGUCAUUAGGAAUCCAGUCACUUCAUUAAGGCGUAAUAUUAUGAAGAUUAUCUUGUCAUAUUUUCUGUUGUCAUAGUGUACUUUUCCUAUCUAUUAAAAAAAGAAAAAGGAAGUUUAUCCAAAACUGGAGUGUAAAUGCCAGUUAUGAAAGAUUAUAUUUAUGCAUGUGUAGAAUUGUAAAAAAAAUAAAAAAUAAAAUUAUAGCUUGUAUGCUAAUAAAAUUACAUAAGAAAACGGUGUAUGUAUCUCCUAAAUCCACUACUAAAUACAGCUUUGCCGUCAGAGAAAACCAGAUUAAGUCAUUUGGUGUUGUCUAACACUAGGUCACAAACAAUUUUUUCUCUGGUAGUAAAGUAGAUUAAUCCAUUAAUCCUUAUGCAAAAUGUAAAUAUUUAUAUUAGACAAUUAGAACAAGGAUUUUUUUUGUGCUCUUGUUCUCUUUUUCUCUCAAUAUAAACCAGAUUUAUUACUCAGUAACAUUUUUUUUCUUUCCUAUUUUUCUUACUCUGCUGCUUUAAAAUGUAGAUGUAUGUUCUAGAAGAUACUAGGAAAAAAGAGGUCCUAAGCAAGUGCUUACUACUUUUAGAUCAGAAUUUGUCUAUUUUGGAUUUUCUAAAAAAGUAGCUAAGCAUUAUUUCUUGGAAGUUUAAUAUUAUCCUUUUUAGUAGGAGCCAAAAUAUGUUAAUUGUAACUGUAUCUGUGUUAUACCCCCCAAGAUGCAGAACUGUGGUGGAGACUAAUAUCGCUGUGGAAAAAAUCACACGUAAUACUUAGUAAACCAAAGGAAGUCAAGGCCAAUAAUCGCAGAAUAGUGUAAGAUGAUGUAUUGUUUUAUUUUUAUUUAAAGUGAAAAUGGGUUGGGGGCAUAUCUGCAAGCACUUUGGAGGAGAGGUUUAAGAUUCAAAACAAUCUCAUUAAUUAGCAAUUUUGUCUGAAAAGCAAGAUGCGUUUCAAGCAGGACAAAUACAAAUUACUACAUUUCAGUAAGAAUAAUCAGCUGAGAAAUGAAAGAAACUUGCUGGCUAGGCAAAAGUUGCAUAAAAAAUGUAGGGAUGGUUUAUUAAAGUGAAGACAAGUUGCCAGUUUUAUAUUGUUGUAGAAGAAAUAAAAAGAAAAAAAAAAACAAGCAUCUGGUAUCCUUGUUUGGGUUAUUGUGAUUGGACAAAAUGCUGACCAGCUGGAGAUGCCGUGAAGAUAAGCAUGGAGAAUGAUGAGAUGUCUAGAAAGCAUGACCUGAUGAGAAGGGAAUUAACCUGUUUCUUUGAGCCAAUUAUAGAAUGUAAUGAGCUAAUAUUGCAAGAAGGGAUUGGUAGACAUUAGGAAGUAUUUUUUAGAUGGGAGAUGGGAUUGUCUGCAGAGAAGUGUUGCAAAAUAUACAUAUCUGGAUUUUUUUUAAUGAAUGGAAUACAGAAAUGCUUGUGAGAAUGAUUGUUAGUGCAGUUGGUAGUGGCAUAGGAGGAAGAAAUAGGUAAAGUUAUUUUGAUUUACUUCAAUUUCUUUUUUAUAUGGGUAGUAAAUACUAGUAUUCCAAUAUGGAAUUACAUAAAUGAAAGAAAGCUUAAAAAGAAGCAAACAAAAACUACUAUCUCAGAAUGCCUGAUUUUUGUUUUAAUCAUUUUAAAUUUUUAAAAAAUUGAGACUCUUUGAAUAUUUUCACUUCACUGUAUAUACUAACUAGUUUAGCUUCUGCAUUGGCAGUUAAAACAACAUCAAAUAUCAGAAGUUUUACUUACAUAGCCUCUUACACAUGUAGGAAACUACCUACCUGCAUGGAUCUACCAAGAUAGAGAGAUCUAUAAAGUCACUGCUUUAUCUUUCCCUUACAUCCCUCCUUAAAACUUGCUGUGGCUUGAGGCUUGACCAGUAUUCAGCAAGUUACACUACUGGAAAGUUGUAAUGGAAACUAUUAUUUUCAAGUUUCCAUGGGGAGAACCUGUUUUUUUCCCCUUCUAUUCCUCUUUCCUUGUUUAUUACUUGCAGCACAAGAAUGUUUUUAGAUGGAUGAGAAAUCUCUCAAAAUACUGUCUCUCGGCCAAAUGCCAGUGUUUCAGUAGGAAUGCCCACUGCUUUGUAUCAAUGUUGCUAUAGAAUCCAAAUUUCAGCUGACUUGAAUUUUUGUCAGCUGAUAUGUUUCUAGUCAAAAUGUAUUGAAAGCAGAAAAUGCAGCUGAAUGGCCUUCAAAAAAAAAAAGAGUCCAAAUUCACACUGAAUGUGGAAAAAUUUUUCUAAUCUUGCAGUUUCCUUUGGAGUGUAUCACUGAAACAUUUUAUUCCUCCAACCUUCUUUGAUUUUUGCCACUUUAGAAGGAAGUCUUUCUCUGGCGAUUCUUGAGAAAUUACAUUUUCAAAUACUCUACUGCA
This 20652-nucleotide long non-coding RNA is filed under the name Gallus gallus (chicken). Lineage: Eukaryota; Metazoa; Chordata; Aves; Galliformes; Phasianidae. The record is from RNAcentral.